Molecule: long non-coding RNA, 2793 nt
Organism: Salvia splendens (bonfire salvia)
Lineage: Eukaryota; Viridiplantae; Streptophyta; Magnoliopsida; Lamiales; Lamiaceae
Exons: 9
Source: RefSeq, a predicted model, not a curated record
AUCUUGUUUCGACCCACCUAUUACACCUCUUUGGCAUGGAUUAUAAGUACGAAUUGAAGUAUUGCAAGUACGGGUUGGAUUUUGGGCAAUUAAUUUUGAUUUUUGUUAAAUUGGAUUUUCUAGGGUUAACUUGGUCGCUCUCUCCCACCUUUCUUCUACCUUAAGUACUACAAUAGAUUCUUACUGAUGCAUGAAAACCUAAAUCAGCAUGUGAAGUCUUUGCUGUAGCUGGUCAAUAUUGUGUGACACUGAUGAUUCAAUAUAGUAAUAUAGUACACCUCGAUCCAUUUCUGUGGUGGAGAGCUACUAUAGGUGUUGAAGCUGGUGAAAAAUCUUGUUUAUUUGCCAUGUUUUUUCUUCAAAAUAUAAGAGCUUUUAAAGUGGAGUAUCAACUACUGCAUCAUCUUUCUUUUUUUGCAUGGAAUUGCCUAUAGUAAGAGUAAGAGAAAAGAAGAAUUGUGGUUGAUACUGCUUGAAUGAGAGAGAAACUGGAGAACAAAUUGGUCCAUUUACUUUUGUGUGCCGGCCAUCAGCAUGAUAAUAAUUACCAUUAGUAUUUUAUUUUGAUUAAAAUGUUACAUAGACUUAGUCCUUAAUUACUCUAGGAAGCACAAAAAGCUAAAAAAAGACAUGUUAAUCAAUGUGUAUUAUACACAAAACACAACCGUUUAGAGUUUGGUUGAAUAUUGAGUAAAGGUCCUUUUUGGUCCUCCUAAACAUAUGGCGAUUUUUUUUAUUUUGGUCCAAAACAUUAUCUUUUGAAUUAUUCGGUCCUUAACAUUUGAAAUCGGAUCACAUUUAGUCCGAAAUGGACGGGACUGUUAAAAUUUAACAUCGCCUCCGACCGCACCGCCCUCCUCUGGAACCUCUCCAGCCCACCCCCUGCGCCUGGCCCGGCGUCAACUGCUCCCCCGACAACUCCUCAGUCGUCGAGCUCCACUUCCCCGGAAUGGGCCUCUCCGGCGAGCUCCCCCCCAAAUCCUUCUCCAACAUGACCAAUUUGUAGACUCUCAGCCUCCGCUACAACGCCCUCUCCGGCCCCCUCCCGCCCUACCUCUUCACCUCCUUCCGCAAUCUCUACCUGCAGCACAAUUUCUUCACCGGCGAGCUUCCCCAAACCCUCUUCUCCCUCACCUCGCUGGUGCGGCUCAAUCUAGCGGAGAACAACUUCUUGGGCCCGAUUUCGCCGGGUUUCGCCAAUUUGACCAAGUUAGGAACUCUCUAUUUGCAGAAAAACCGCUUCUCCGGCCCGAUCCCCCCCUUAGAUCUGCCUGCCCUAGUUCAAUUCGACGUUUCCAGCAAUAACCUAACCGGCUCAAUCCCCAAUUCCCUUUCGAAAAACCCUAAAUCCUCCUUCCUCAGCAAUUCGCUCUGCGGCGAGCCUCUCAAUUCGUGCGGAAACGCUAAUCCGAAGAAGAAGAAGCUCUCCGCCGGAGCGAUUGCCGGCAUUGUGAUCGCCUCCGUCGUCGCGGUUUUCGUUGACCGUUAAAUUUUAACAGUUCCCAUUUCUGACUAAAUGUGAUCCGAUUUCAAAUGUGAGGGACCGAAUAAUUCAAAAGAUAAUGUUUUGGACCAAAAUAAAAAAAAUUGCCAUAUGUUUAGGACCAAAAGGACCUUUACUCUUGAAUAUUUUCCAUGGUGUUCAAGGUGCUUACAGGGAGUCUGCAGCCAAGAAAGCUUAUCCAAACUGUGGGGAUAUAUACCAUUGGUACUAUGUGAACAAUUUGACAGAACUUUUCGAGUGGCUAAAAUGGCCUUGGACUCCUCAAAAAGAUCAACUGCUCUUUCAGUAUAUCUCGUAGCAUGGUGAAGUCAGAUGAAGCUCUGUCUCUAAGUGCACAGGUUUGAAUAGGAGUGGGGAGAGCUAUAGGCUGAGGUGUGUGAAUUACUUGAGGCCUGGCCUUAAAAAGGGGCUGUUAACACCUCAAGAAGAAGAUUCUAAGCCUCGAAUAUACAGAUCAGACAUAGCAAACAAAGUGCACUCAUCAUUGAUAAAUUUGCUUAGACAGGUCACAGAUUGCUUGCUUUUGCUCGCCAGGACUUUGCUAUGGCAAGUUGGAAGCUUGUAUGUUGACAUCUAUAAUUUCGUCUCAUUAUGUUUGAGUUGGUUCCUUUGUUAUCAAUGAUAAAGAUGAGGUUGAAACAAAGAACUGGAAAUCAAGUGUCAGGUUCAAGGGCUCUCUGCUACCUCUUGAGCAAUGGAGUUUCAUGAAUGUAGCCUUGUUCCUGCUAAAUCUGUCAAGCGUCCUUCUAUCAAAGUUCGGAAGCAAUACUUUCUAUCAAAGCAAGCACUAUGAACCUGUUUGCGAAGUGAAGGACAAAUAGGUGUGAAUUAUGUCGAUAGGUUGGAGAUUGAGACUUCAACAAAAUAAUUAUUUCUAUUAGGAUAUUCGGACGAGGAGGAUCGUUGGGCGUGACACUGAGAACCAAGGGCUCUACUACGUGGACGAGGUAGCUUACCAUGGGAGUGCAAUGCUGGCUCGCGGAUCCACAAAAGAAGAGGUUGGCUGUGGCACAGAAGACUAGGAUACUCUUCCCAUGGUUAUUUUAAACUUUUGUUUCCCGAUUUUUUGUUGCCUAGAGAUUUUUCUUGUGAGACAUGUGUUUUGGCCAAGAGCCAGACACAAUCUUUUAAACAUUCUAAUGCCCGUAUGCAAUCUAUGUUUGAUUUGGUUCAUGUUGAUGUGUGGGGUCCUGCACCUGUUAUUGGGAGGAAUGGUUUUAGAUAUAACUGUACACGAAUGAAUUGGAUAUAUUUCUUGAAACAUAAAUCUGAGGUAGUUGAAAAUUUUA